AACGAACGCUGGCGGCAUGCCUAACACAUGCAAGUCGAACGAGACCUUCGGGUCUAGUGGCGCACGGGUGCGUAACGCGUGGGAACCUGCCCUUAGGUUCGGAAUAACUCCCCGAAAGGGGUGCUAAUACCGGAUAAUGUCUUCGGACCAAAGAUUUAUCGCCUUUGGUUGGGCCCGCGUUGGAUUAGCUAGUUGGUAGGGUAAAAGCCUACCAAGGCGACGAUCCAUAGCUGGUCUGAGAGGAUGAUCAGCCACACUGGGACUGAGACACGGCCCAGACUCCUACGGGAGGCAGCAGUGGGGAAUGUUGGACAAUGGGCGAAAGCCUGAUCCAGCAAUGCCGCGUGAGUGAUGAAGGCCUUAGGGUUGUAAAGCUCUUUUACCCGGGAUGAUAAUGACAGUACCGGGAGAAUAAGCUCCGGCUAACUCCGUG
This 433-nucleotide ribosomal RNA is filed under the name uncultured bacterium. Its description in RNAcentral is "partial 16S ribosomal RNA". It matches the Rfam family "Bacterial small subunit ribosomal RNA", at positions 29 to 507 of the family's 1533-position model. The record is from RNAcentral.